Molecule: ribosomal RNA, 345 nt
Filed under: Verrucomicrobiaceae bacterium
Lineage: Bacteria; Pseudomonadati; Verrucomicrobiota; Verrucomicrobiia; Verrucomicrobiales; Verrucomicrobiaceae
Description: bacterial SSU rRNA
Rfam family: Bacterial small subunit ribosomal RNA
Source: RNAcentral
UCAACUUGAGAGUUUGAUCCUGGCUCAGAACGAACGCUGGCGGCAGGCCUAACACAUGCAAGUCGAGCGCCCCGCAAGGGGAGCGGCGGACGGGUGAGUAACGCGUGGGAACGUACCCUUUGCUACGGAAUAGCCUCGGGAAACUGGGAGUAAUACCGUAUGUGCCCUUCGGGGGAAAGAUUUAUCGGCAAAGGAUCGGCCCGCGUUGGAUUAGGUAGUUGGUGGGGUAAUGGCCUACCAAGCCGACGAUCCAUAGCUGGUUUGAGAGGAUGAUCAGCCACACUGGGACUGAGACACGGCCCAGACUCCUACGGGAGGCAGCAGUGGGGAAUCUUAGACAAUGGG